AGUGAACGCUGGCGGUAGGCCUAACACAUGCAAGUCGAACGGCAGCACAGUAAGAGCUUGCUCUUACGGGUGGCGAGUGGCGGACGGGUGAGGAAUACAUCGGAAUCUACUUUUUCGUGGGGGAUAACGUAGGGAAACUUACGCUAAUACCGCAUACGACCUACGGGUGAAAGCAGGGGAUCUUCGGACCUUGCGCGAUUGAAUGAGCCGAUGUCGGAUUAGCUAGUUGGCGGGGUAAAGGCCCACCAAGGCGACGAUCCGUAGCUGGUCUGAGAGGAUGAUCGGCCACACUGGAACUGAGACACGGUCCAGACUCCUACGGGAGGCAGCAGUGGGGAAUAUUGGACAAUGGGCGCAAGCCUGAUCCAGCCAUACCGCGUGGGUGAAGAAGGCCUUCGGGUUGUAAAGCCCUGUUGUUGGGAAAGAAAAGCAGCAGGUUAAUACCCCGCUGUUCUGACGGUACCCAAAGAAUAAGCACCGGCUAACUUCGUG
This 492-nucleotide ribosomal RNA is filed under the name uncultured bacterium. Its description in RNAcentral is "partial 16S ribosomal RNA". It matches the Rfam family "Bacterial small subunit ribosomal RNA", at positions 29 to 507 of the family's 1533-position model. The record is from RNAcentral.